CGGGGAGCAAGAGGUUCCGAUCUGGCACACUGUUAGAUUAAGGGAAAUCUGGAGAACGUGACUAUCUGAGCGAGCCAGGGAUAUUGAUCCCCACCAGGAAGACAAAGCCAAUAAUGAGGGAGAGUUCCUCAGGAGAAGCCCCGGUAAUGGCCGUGUCCUCAGGUAGAUGCAAGAGCGGUGAAGCAGACAGUGGCGUGACAACAACUAACAAAUUUAUGAAGCAGGUCUGCAACCGGAAUUAAGGUGGGCAGUUAUUUAAUAUUACAAUCAAAAAUCAGAGUCAUGAGCUCAGCUGGCAAACCCAGAAAAGCCACCUGGACAAGAGACUGUAGUCCUGCAACCAGCCAACCAUUUGAAUUGCAUCAUGAAUUGUGCAUUGCGUCUGACACUUCAGCCAGGACGGCUGACGUAAGGAAGGCAAACCUAGCCCACACUGAUCAAAAUGGCAGAAAUUAACCAGAGGAGCAACAUGCCCUCGGCACAGUCCCUGAACAGGACUGAGAUGCCUACAGCACAGCAAGAUGAUGUUUUCCAGUAGCAAACUCCUGGGUGGAGUAGAAAAACGGAGGCAGGAGGGGAGCAAGAAAGGAUGGGCAGAGGAACUUAUUCUUUAGCAUGUAUGGGAGCAGCAGACAGAGGGAUGCAAAUGUCAGGACCCUCCAUGGCUGGAAAUCACAUAGAAGGAGUGAAUUGGUGAGUCCCACCUCUUGAUAUUACCAAAUAAAGAUCAGCCGCUAGUGGAAACGUGCCCUGCUUCCCAAGCUGAGAUGUAAAGUUAAGAGCAAAUGAAAUUCAUGUCCCUUCCCCAUGUCGUAGCUGAUGAAGAUGACAAAAAAGACAGACUUUUCCAGAUGGUUUGAAAUGUAAAUAAAAAAUGGAGAAAUGAAUCUGGGCACUUUCCACUCACCCAUGUGUCUUUAACAUACUAACCUCACAGCCAGAUGAGAGGGCUCCUGCAAGCCUCAGGACAGACAGAGGGUAUAAAUAAAGUUCACAGCCAACCAAUGGAGGCUGCUGAUACUGAAGGCGGGUAGAAUCUCCUUCAUGAUAGAGAGCAGACCGGACUCAGUGGUAAUGAAUAUAGAGAUUCCUUC
Molecule: long non-coding RNA, 1094 nt
Organism: Mauremys reevesii (Reeves's turtle)
Lineage: Eukaryota; Metazoa; Chordata; Testudines; Geoemydidae
Exons: 5
Source: RefSeq, a predicted model, not a curated record